RNAcentral lists this ribosomal RNA (267 nucleotides) under uncultured bacterium. Its description in RNAcentral is "partial 16S ribosomal RNA". It matches the Rfam family "Bacterial small subunit ribosomal RNA", at positions 793 to 1055 of the family's 1533-position model. The record is from RNAcentral.
GUCCUAGCCGUAAACGGUGCAUGCUUGCUGUAAAAGGAAUCGACCCCUUUUGUGGCGGAGCCAACGCGUUAAGCAUGCCGCCUGGGAAGUACGGUCGCAAGAUUAAAACUCAAAGAAAUUGACGGGGGCCUGCACAAGCGGUGGAGUAUGUGGCUCAAUUCGAUGCAACGCGAAGAACCUUACCUGGCCUUGACAUGUACGUAGUAGAAGGGUGAAAGCCUGACGAGAUAGCAAUAUCAGCGUACACAGGUGCUGCAUGGCUGUCGU